ACUCAAAGGAAUAGACGGGGACUUGCACAAGCAGUGGAUUAUGUGGUUUAAUUCGAUGGUAAACGAAGAACCUCACCAGGGUUUGAAACCUACGUGAAAGCUCCGAGAAACCGGAGCCCUCGCAAGACUAGUAGGCAGGUGCUGCAUGGCCGUCGUCAGUUCGUGGUUUGAAUUGUUCCCUUCAGUGGGGUAACGAACGCAACCCUCGUCGUGUGUUACAAGUGUCACACGAGACUGCCCCCUCUCGGGGGAGGAAGGUGAGGAUGACGCCAGGUCAGCAUGGCCCUUUGACACCCUGGGCUACACACAUAAUACAAUCGCCGUUACAACAUGACGCAAUACCGUAAGGUGGAGCAAAUCAUUAGAAAAACGGCGCCAGUUCGGAUUGAGGUCUGCAACUCGACCUCAUGAAGCCGGAAUUGCUAGUAAUCGCGGGUCAGCUAUACCGCGGUGAAUACGUUCUCAAGUCUUGUACACACCGCCCGU
RNAcentral lists this ribosomal RNA (486 nucleotides) under uncultured bacterium. RNAcentral describes it as "partial 16S ribosomal RNA". It matches the Rfam family "Bacterial small subunit ribosomal RNA", at positions 899 to 1397 of the family's 1533-position model. The record is from RNAcentral.